GGCCAGGACUGGGCUGGGGCAGAAGGAAACCAGCCGCCCCCGGCCCUCGCCGUUGCGCGCUCUGGACGCGCGGUGGCUGCGCUCCCCUCCGGCCCGGGUUUGCAUUAGAUCUGAAGAGAACGCAGAAUGGGAACCUUGCCAGAGAAAGCCGUGUGUUCAUUCACCUGCCUUCUGUCUUGAUAAGUUACAAUAAACUGACUGAAAAAUCCGGACGUGUCUUACAGAAUGUUCUUGAACACCGGGACUGUCCCACUGAAUCGCUAUCGGUAAUAGUCAACAAGCUGGGACCCACUGGUGCUCAAUGUCUUUGGAAAGCACUUGAAAAGAACUGCAGCCUGAAGAGUCUUAACCUUUAUGACAACGCUGUUGGAAAUGAAGGCACGAAAGGCCUGGCUCAGAGUUUAGACAAGAAUCGCACCCUGCAGGAACUAAUGUAAGAGGGUCAGAUUGAAACCUGAUUCACUAGCGUCUCAGAGCUCACUAACAGUGCUGGCAAACCAGUUCAUCUCAGCUCCCUGACUUUAGAAUCUGAUGGUCAAUUCUCCUCUUGUACUUGAUCUUCCAGUUCCAACAUGGUGCCCUCAUUAAAUCAGAACAAUUGUCCUCUGACCUCUCCAGAGACAGCGAGCUCUCCUGCGGCUGAGUACUACUUUGUCACCGGCCCAAGGCUCUGAGAUCUAUUAGCUGCUUUCUUGUCUUCCUUCAGCAGCACCAGUGUGAAUAACCAAGUUACAAAACACUCAAGCUGGGGAACAUUCGAAUGAAUAAAAAUGAAAGUAAAAUGUCUGGGCAAGCCCAGUAAUCUUAUUUGUAAAUCAUGUUAGUAGGAAUAUAAAAAAUUGCUAGACCAGGGGUCCACCUAGCUCAGAGUCCCAUCUCCGGCAGUGGCUGGUACCUGCUGCU
This is a long non-coding RNA of Gopherus evgoodei (Goodes thornscrub tortoise), 903 nucleotides long. RefSeq lists it as uncharacterized. NCBI's taxonomy places the organism in Eukaryota, Metazoa, Chordata, Testudines, Testudinidae. The transcript is spliced from 4 exons. The record is from RefSeq and is a predicted model, not a curated record.